GACUCUGAGUGGACGUCGCCUGACGGGAGAGCUUUCACGAGAUUGUCAUCCGAUUGUUGUAAGUGAUCAGUCAAGCAGUCAUCCUGCAUCUUGGAUUUGCCAUGUUCAGUUUGUACAAACAUUAUCUGAUAUUGAGUGAGGCUUUUUCUUUUGCUCCCCUUUGUUUGUGUGUCAGUAGCUGCUCCACAGCACAGCACAGCUCAGCACAGGCUUUGGCUUUUGUGCUGGAUGGAGAAACUGAGAAGUUUAUAAACAGAAGGCAUGGAAGAAGAGAGCAGGUUCUAAAACAAAGAAAUUCUUCUUAAGGAUAAACCUGAGGUCCUGGGAGUUCUUAGAGGUUCUAAAGUGUUUUUUAUGCAUUUGUUGAUGUCAAAUUUUCAAUAAUAAAUUCAAAUAAAUUCUCAUAGUUUUUACAUUUAUAUGGUGUCAUUCUAUGGUGUGUGUAAUA
Molecule: long non-coding RNA, 448 nt
Organism: Onychostoma macrolepis
Lineage: Eukaryota; Metazoa; Chordata; Actinopteri; Cypriniformes; Cyprinidae
Exons: 4
Source: RefSeq, a predicted model, not a curated record